GAUGAACGCUGGCGGCGUGCCUAAUACAUGCAAGUCGAGCGAACAGACGAGGAGCUUGCUCCUCUGACGUUAGCGGCGGACGGGUGAGUAACACGUGGAUAACCUACCUAUAAGACUGGGAUAACUUCGGGAAACCGGAGCUAAUACCGGAUAAUAUAUUGAACCGCAUGGUUCAAUAGUGAAAGACGGUUUUGCUGUCACUUAUAGAUGGAUCCGCGCCGCAUUAGCUAGUUGGUAAGGUAACGGCUUACCAAGGCAACGAUGCGUAGCCGACCUGAGAGGGUGAUCGGCCACACUGGAACUGAGACACGGUCCAGACCCCUACGGGAGGCAGCAGUCGGGAAUCCUCCGCAAUGGGAGAAAGCCUGACGGAGCAACGCCGCGUGAGUGAUGAAGGUCUUCGGAUCGUAAAACUCUGUUAUUAGGGAAGAACAAAUGUGUAAGUAACUAUGCACGUCUUGACGGUACCUAAUCAGAAAGCCACGGCUAACUACGUG
RNAcentral lists this ribosomal RNA (497 nucleotides) under uncultured bacterium. RNAcentral's name for it is "partial 16S ribosomal RNA". It matches the Rfam family "Bacterial small subunit ribosomal RNA", at positions 28 to 507 of the family's 1533-position model. The record is from RNAcentral.